This 440-nucleotide ribosomal RNA is filed under the name uncultured bacterium. RNAcentral describes it as "partial 16S ribosomal RNA". It matches the Rfam family "Bacterial small subunit ribosomal RNA", at positions 338 to 795 of the family's 1533-position model. The record is from RNAcentral.
CCUACGGGGUGCAGCAGUGGGGGAUAUUGCACAAUGGGGGAAACCCUGAUGCAGCGACGCCGCGUGUGGGAAGACGGUCCUCUGGAUUGUAAACCACUGUCCCCAGGGACGAAGAUGACGGUACCUGGGGAGGAAGCUCCGGCUAACUACGUGCCAGCAGCCGCGGUAAUACGUAGGGAGCGAGCGUUGUCCGGAAUUACUGGGUGAAAAGGGAGCGGAGGCGGGACUGCAAGUUGGGUGUCAAAUCUACCGGCUCAACCGGUAGCCGCACUCAAAACUGCAGUUCUUGAGUGAAGUAGAGGCAGGCGGAAUUCCUAGUGUAGCGGUGAAAUGCGUAGAUAUUAGGAGGAACACCAGUGGCGAAGGCGGCCUGCUGGGCUUUUACUGACGCUGAGGCUCGAAAGUGUGGGGAGCAAACAGGAUUAGAUACCCCAGUAGUC